RNAcentral lists this ribosomal RNA (423 nucleotides) under uncultured archaeon. Its description in RNAcentral is "partial 16S ribosomal RNA". It matches the Rfam family "Archaeal small subunit ribosomal RNA", at positions 323 to 746 of the family's 1478-position model. The record is from RNAcentral.
CUACGGGAGGCACCAGUCGCGGAACAUUUACAAUGCACGCAAGUGUGAUAAUGCGAACCAAAGUGCUUAUCAUUUAGAUAAGCUUUUUCUUAGCGUAAAAACCUAGGAGAAUAAGGACUGGGAAAGACUGGUGCCAGCCGCCGCGGUAAUACCAGCAGUUCAAGUUGCAUCCCUUUUUAUUGGGUCUAAAACAUCCGUAGCUUGUCGUUUAAGUCUCUUGUGAAAUCCGAUGUCGCAAGCAUCGGGCUUGCAGGAGAUACUGGGCGACUAGAGAUCGGUAGACGUAAGCAGUACGCCGGAGGUAGUGGUAAAAUACGUUAAUCUUCGGUGGACUAACAAUCAGCGAAGGCAGCUUACGAGGACGAAUCUGACAGUGAGGGAUGAAGGCCAGGGGCGCAAAACGGAUUAGAUACCCGAGUAGUC